AUGCCCAGUGAUUAUAAAAAAGACGCGUUAUUCUGAGGGACACAACCUGCUGCCAGACUUUCACCUACCUUGUGCUCCUCUGUCCAUCUCUUCAAUCUUUUCAUUCUUUCUCCUUUCCUCCAGCUCUCCUUUUUCAUUCUGGCAGCUGGUCCACUGAUUGCGAUUAUGAGAUAUGAGGGCAU
Small nucleolar RNA from Thalassophryne amazonica, 182 nucleotides. RefSeq annotates it as small nucleolar RNA SNORD97. The transcript has a single exon. The record is from RefSeq and is a predicted model, not a curated record. Lineage: Eukaryota; Metazoa; Chordata; Actinopteri; Batrachoidiformes; Batrachoididae.